GAUGAACGCUGGCGGCGUGCCUAAUACAUGCCAGUCGAGCGAACAGACGAGGAGCUUGCUCCUCUGACGUUAGCGGCGGACGGGUGAGUAACACGUGGAUAACCUACCUAUAAGACUGGGAUAACUUCGGGAAACCGGAGCUAAUACCGGAUAAUAUAUUGAACCGCAUGGUUCAAUAGUGAAAGACGGUUUUGCUGUCACUUAUAGAUGGAUCCGCGCCGCAUUAGCUAGUUGGUAAGGUAACGGCUUACCAAGGCAACGAUGCGUAGCCGACCUGAGAGGGUGAUCGGCCACACUGGAACUGAGACACGGUCCAGACUCCUACGGGAGGCAGCAGUAGGGAAUCUUCCGCAAUGGGCGAAAGCUUGACGGAGCAACGCCGCGUGAGUGAUGAAGGUCUUCGGAUCGUAAAACUCUGUUAUUAGGGAAGAAAAAAUGUGUAAGUAACUAUGCACGUCUUGACGGUACCUAAUCAGAAAGCCACGGCUAACUACGUG
Molecule: ribosomal RNA, 497 nt
Filed under: uncultured bacterium
Lineage: Bacteria
Description: partial 16S ribosomal RNA
Rfam family: Bacterial small subunit ribosomal RNA
Source: RNAcentral